RNAcentral lists this long non-coding RNA (241 nucleotides) under Lathyrus oleraceus (garden pea). Its description in RNAcentral is "Pisum sativum (pea) long non-coding RNA (PSAT_LNC004918)". Lineage: Eukaryota; Viridiplantae; Streptophyta; Magnoliopsida; Fabales; Fabaceae. The record is from RNAcentral.
AACAACGUAAGGCAAUGCGAGAAAAGUAAAGUGAGGUAAUUAAAUAGACAAGGCAAUUCAAACGUAAAUAAAGUUGAAUUAAACACGAACAUGCUUCAAUCUGAGACUUGAAUCUGGUACAAUGCAAGUAGACGGAAAUAAACUUUGACGGAAUGUAAAUGCGGGAAGAUAAAUGACUUCAAAAUAAUGGUGUUCCAAACUUGAUACAUGAACAAAAUGCGAUAACCCCUUGAUGUAAAAA